UACGUAGGGUGCGAGCGUUAAUCGGAAUUACUGGGCGUAAAGCGUGCGCAGGCGGUUGGCAAAGUCAGCUGUGAAAGCCCCGGGCUUAACCUGGGAAUGGCGGUUGAAACUAAUCGACUCGAAUCUGGCAGAGGGGGGUGGAAUUCCACGUGUAGCAGUGAAAUGCGUAGAGAUGUGGAGGAACACCGAUGGCGAAGGCAGCCCCCUGGGCUGAGAUUGACGCUCAGGCACGAAAGCGUGGGGAGCAAACAGG
RNAcentral lists this ribosomal RNA (253 nucleotides) under uncultured bacterium. RNAcentral's name for it is "partial 16S ribosomal RNA". It matches the Rfam family "Bacterial small subunit ribosomal RNA", at positions 524 to 776 of the family's 1533-position model. The record is from RNAcentral.